Molecule: long non-coding RNA, 575 nt
Organism: Oncorhynchus tshawytscha (Chinook salmon)
Lineage: Eukaryota; Metazoa; Chordata; Actinopteri; Salmoniformes; Salmonidae
Source: Ensembl
GGGUGGAGGAGCUGUUGGUGGUGUGUUGAGAUGACUGUGGGUGGAGGAGCUGUUGGUGAUGUGUUGAGGACUGUGGGUGGAGGAGCUGUUGGUGAUGUGUUGAGAUGACUGUGGGUAGAAGACCUGCUUGGAGCCAUGUGUUGAGAUGACUGUGGGUGGAGGAGCUGUUGGUGGUGUGUUGAGAUGACUGUGGGUGGAGGAGCUGUUGGUGAUGUGUUGAGGACUGUGGGUGGAGGAGCUGUUGGUGAUGUGUUGAGAUGACUGUGGGUGGAGGUGCUGUUGGUGAUGUGUUGAGAUGACUGUGGGUGGAGGGGCUGUUGGUGAUGUGUUGAGAUGACUGUGGGUGGAGGUGCUGUUGGUGAUGUGUUGAGAUGACUGUGGGUGGAGGGGCUGUUGGUGAUGUGUUGAGACGACUGUGGGUGGAGGAGCUGUUGUUGAUGUGUUGAGACGACUGUGGGUGGAGGAGCUGUUGGUGAUGUGUUGAGAUGACUGUGGGUGGAGGAGCUGUUGGUGAUGUGUUGAGAUGACUGUGGGUGGAGGAGCUGUUGGUGAUGUGUUGAGAUGACUGUGGGUGG